AUGCUGAGGUAUGAUAUAAAAGAUGCAAUUACAAACCCAACAACAAUGACCAUUUUCAAAAAGUGCAUGGAUCACCUGCUUAUCACUUGUAUCAAUUUUGAUUUGCCUCGAGUGAUUCAAGGUGCACCAACUCAUCCAGUUGUAUGUCACAAUUGGGUAGAUGAAGGAUGUGAAGUUUUUAAGAAAUUGUCACAAAGCUCUGCCAAAACACGGGAAGGUGAUUGUUUUGGAUUAUAUAAUUCUAGUGGUUCCAAACCCGAGCAAUUUCUCUAA
Vicia faba (fava bean) is the source of this 273-nucleotide non-coding RNA. NCBI's taxonomy places the organism in Eukaryota, Viridiplantae, Streptophyta, Magnoliopsida, Fabales, Fabaceae. The record is from the annotation of a GenBank genome assembly.